CGCGUAGGCGGGAUGGCAAGUCAGAUGUGAAAUCUCAGGGCUCAACCCUGAAACUGCAUUUGAAACUGUCGUUCUUGAGUACUGGAGAGGUUGACGGAAUUCCUAGUGUAGCGGUGAAAUGCGUAGAUAUUAGGAGGAACACCAGUGGCGAAGGCGGUCAACUGGACAGAAACUGACGCUGAGGCGCGAAAGCGUGGGGAGCAAACA
RNAcentral lists this ribosomal RNA (207 nucleotides) under uncultured bacterium. RNAcentral's name for it is "partial 16S ribosomal RNA". It matches the Rfam family "Bacterial small subunit ribosomal RNA", at positions 568 to 774 of the family's 1533-position model. The record is from RNAcentral.